Non-coding RNA from Pirellula sp. SH-Sr6A, 71 nucleotides. NCBI's taxonomy places the organism in Bacteria, Pseudomonadati, Planctomycetota, Planctomycetia, Pirellulales, Pirellulaceae. The record is from Rfam.
AACCGCCGUAUGCGGACCCGCACGUACGGUGGUGUGGGGAGGGUGCCCGGCAACGGGCAUCCUUACCCGAU